Molecule: ribosomal RNA, 440 nt
Filed under: uncultured bacterium
Lineage: Bacteria
Description: bacterial SSU rRNA
Rfam family: Bacterial small subunit ribosomal RNA
Source: RNAcentral
CCUACGGGAGGCAGCAGUCGGGAAUUUUGGGCAAUGGGCGAAAGCCUGACCCAGCAACGCCGCGUGAAGGAUGAAAUCCUUCGGGAUGUAAACUUCGCAAGAACGGGAAGAAUAAACCGAUGUUAACACCAUCGGCGAUGACGGUACUGUUUGUAAGCUCCGGCUAACUCCGUGCCAGCAGCCGCGGUAAUACGGGGGGAGCAAGCGUUGUUCGGAUUUACUGGGCGUAAAGGGCGCGUAGGCGGCCACCGCAAGUCGGUUGUGAAAUCUCCGGGCUUAACCCGGAAAGGUCAAUCGAUACUGCGGGGCUAGAGUGCAGAAGGGGCAACUGGAAUUCUCGGUGUAGCGGUGAAAUGCGUAGAUAUCGAGAGGAACACCUGCGGCGAAGGCGGGUUGCUGGGCUGACACUGACGCUGAAGCGCGAAAGCUAGGGGAGCGAA